UUUCAAGGUAAAUCAUAUUAACUUUAUGGUAGGCAAAGUAGGUUGCUGUGAGUGGCAGAGGCUGUUGCUCCUGGAGUAUCUAAGUUCAGUACAGGCAGUCCAUGGAGAACUGAGAGAGAAAGAGGCAGAGAAGCAGGAAGCCACGGGACAGAAUGGAAGAUCUGGCAUCAGCCACUUUUGCCUUUAAGGACUUUCUGGCAGCAACCAGAGGCAGGUCUAUGCAACAAUGGAAACUGCAUAUAAAAAGCUUCCAUAUCAUACCCAAGAGAAAAGAAUGAAAAACAAACUUUCUCCAGAAAACCAUUUUGCUCCAGACAAAGAAGUCUUACUGGAUAUUUAACAAUUUAAAAUAAUGUCCAAUUCUUUGCAUUUCAGUUUUCCCAAGACAAAGAAAGGGUUAUAAUAUGUCAUAUUUGCUGCUUUGACAAUGGGAAUCAUUCCAUUUGUAUUACCAUCUCAAUAUUGUUUGGGGCUAUCUUGUAAUAAAAC
Molecule: long non-coding RNA, 489 nt
Organism: Hemicordylus capensis (graceful crag lizard)
Lineage: Eukaryota; Metazoa; Chordata; Lepidosauria; Squamata; Cordylidae
Exons: 3
Source: RefSeq, a predicted model, not a curated record